AGACCUAGCACCGCUGCCAAGACCAAGCGCCGCCGUCACGUCACCUCCGGCAGACCCACUCCCGCACAAUGCCGGCCGUCGGUUGCGUUCCUGCAAAACUACUCUGGACCUGCUACCCUUUCCCUGGAGCUUGUUCCCCGCUGUGCUGACACCCUGGGCGCCCGGAGCUCAGCCCCAUGCUGCUGAUUCACCACGGGCGACCUGCAAAACCUAACAUCUUCUCUCGCCUGCGCUCUGCCACCAUAUCAUCGUUCAGGAAAUCUAGAAUCAAUCAACCUUCUCUAUUCUUCUCUUGCUAUAUAUACUAAUGUAUAUGGUGAUGGAUAAGUCUAUGUACUAUGGUCUUUGUGGGGCUGCAGCACAUAGUCCUUUGUGGGGCUGCAGCACAUGGCCCUUGUGGCUGUUAGGAUAGAAUCCUUGACCAUCAAGGACUGGCAGUUAGGAUAGCAUCUUGGACUAGCAUCUUAGCAGCAUCUUAGACUAGCAUCUUAGCAUAUGCUUGGCUGGCUAGCAGCCUAUAAAUAUGUAUCCCCAACCCCUCAGGUUGGCAUGGCAUUGUGUGAGAAAUAAACCAACGAAAAUUGUCCCAACUCUCCUAGUGUCAUCCACAACUAUCAAUGCUCAGGCUGAAAGGUCUAACAAGUGGUAUCAGAGCCUCGUUAUCUUGUACCCUGAGCAUUUCCUGCUCACCUCUCUCACCGGGAGCUGAGCAGCCUAAGCCGGUAGCAGCAGCUGCUCCGACUGCCCCUAGUUACCGCCCUCCCUCCGGACUGUCGAGCAGCAGCUCGUCAGCAACAGCCUCCUCUUCACGCAACAGCCCCCCUGCAGCAAGCCAUGUCUGCAGGUCGCUCUCAGCACACGGCUACCUCGAGCAUACGGCGCCGGCAAGAGGCCGAGCGCGCCGUGGCAGAGGAGCGUGAGCAAGCAGCUGUAGCAGCAGCUGCUGCGGCAGCAAGGGUGUCAAGGCUGGCUGCAGCGGAGCUGGCAGCAGCCAGAGCAGAGGUAGAAGCAGCCAGGGCGGAGGUAGAAGCAGCAGCAGCAGCGGAGGCAGCACGUGAGGCUACAGCGGGUGCCAAGGCACUCCGCGUCGGCUCCGGCAGCUCCAACGGCUCCGCGCCUGCGGACGACGGUGCCGACGCAGACCGUGCCAAAGUGGCGCAAGAGCGGACAGCGCAGUGGGCAGCCGAGCGCGCCCGCGCUCCAGGUGGAGGUGCGCACGGCGACGACGGCUGCAACGACCAGGACCGCGGCCUCUACGAGGUCCGGACUGUGGUCAGGGAUGUUGGUCCCAGUGUUGGGUGGCCUACCCUCACUAAAACCAACUACGUCGAGUGGGCCGCGAUCAUGAAGAUCAGGCUCCAGGUGCGGCGGCUGUGGGAGGCAGUCCAGGACAGCAACGUCGACCACCAAGAAGAUCGACGGGCGCUGGACGCCCUCAUCGCCGCAGUCCCGCCCGCGAUGCAGUUCUCGCUUUCCAACAAGCGGACUGCCAAGGAGGCUUGGGACGCCAUCGCCGCGGCACGCAUCGGCAGCGACCGUGCUGGCGUGCUCGCAAGUCCACACUGCAGGCACUUCGUAAGGAGUGGGAGAGCCUGGCUUUCAAGCCAGGUGAGGACGUUGAUGACUUUGCUCUCCGUCUCAACACUCUACUGCAGAAGAUGGUGAAGUUCGGCGAUGACACCUACACCGAGGAGAGAGCUGUCUAGAAGCUUUUCCGAUGCAUUCCCGAGAAGUACAAGCAGAUGGCUCGCUCGAUCGAGUCUUUGCUGGACCUCUCCACGAUGACGAUCGAGGAGGCGAUAGGUCGCCUCAAGGUCGUCGACACCGACGAGCCACAGCCUCCCUCGGGGCCCAUCACCACCGGCGGGAAGCUGCUCCUAACUCGGGAGCAAUGGGAUGCCAGCCUUGGUGACAAGAAGGGGGAGCCUUCUUCCACGACGGGCGGCCGCAAGCGUGGCAAGCAGCGCAAGGCGCGAAGGGGCGACAAGGCACAAGGACGUGCUGAAGGUGACGCCCGCGGAGGCGCCAAGGACGGCGUCGCUGGCAAGCCCAAGCCGGCACAGGACAACAGCUGCCACAACUGUGGCCGGCUUGGCCAUUGGGCCAAUGAGUGUCGCCAACCACGACAAGGCCAGGCUCAUGUCGCACAGGCGGCGGAGGAGGAGACGGCUCUGUUCAUGGCGCAUGCAAGCAUCGAGCUACCUUCAGCGACACCAGUCGCAAAGGCUCCCCUCCACCUCGACGAGCCAAAAGCACACGCUCUUCUCGGCGAUGGCUCCGGGAAGGACAAGACUGCGGGGUGGUGCCUCGAUACCGGCGCCACCCACCACAUGACCGGUCGAAGGGAAUUCUUCGCCGAGCUCGACUCCGACGCGCGAGGCUCCGUCAAGUUUGGGGAUGCCUCAGCUGUGGAAAUUAAGGGCGUCGGCUCCGUCAUCUUCACCACCAAGACGGGAGAGCACCGGCUGCUCACCGGUGUCUACUACAUCCCCGCGCUAAGGAACUCCAUCAUCAGCUUGGGACAGCUGGAUGAGAACGGCUCACGCGUGCUGAUUGAGCAUGGGGUCCUACGCAUCUGGGAUCGCCAGCGUCGCCUUCUCGCCAAGGUACCCAGAGGCGAAAAUCGACUCUACGUCCUUGAUGUGCAGGUGGCACAACCGGUCUGUCUCGCUGUCCGUCGGGACGACGAGGCGUGGCAAUGGCAUGAGCGCUUUGGGCACCUUCAUUUUGAGGCCCUGAAGCGUCUAAGUGCCAAGGAGAUGGUGUUGAGGCCUGCCAUGCCUCGACCAUGUGGAGCAAUUCUGCGACAUCUGUGUGCUGACGAAGCAGAGAGGACUCCCCUUUCCCCAGCAGGCAAGUUUUCGGGCCAAGGAGAGGCUGGAGCUCGUGCACGAAGAUCUGUGCGGCCCGGUGACGCCAGCCACACCAGGAGGUCGACGCUACUUCCUGCUGCUCGUCGACGACCUCUCUCGCUACAUGUGGGUGAUGGUCCUCGGCAGUAAGGGAGAGGCGCCGGACGCCAUCAGGCGUGCGCAGGUUGCUGUGGAGGCGGAGAGCGGCCGCAAACUGCGCGUGUUGCGCACUGACAACGGUGGCGAAUUCACGGCGGCUGAAUUCGCGUCGUACUGCGCUGAUGAGGGCAUCCAGCGCCACUACUCCGCGCCGUACAGCCCGCAGCAAAACGGCGUCGUCGAGCGGCGCAACCAGACGGUUGUGGGGAUGGCUCGGGCUCUCCUCAAGCAGAGAGGGAUGCCGGCUGUUUUCUGGGGAGAGGCGGUGCUAACGGCCGUCUACAUCCUCAACCGCUCGCCUACUAAGGCACUCGACGGCAGGACGCCGUACAAGGCCUGGCAUGGGCGGAAGCCGGCGGUCUCUCACUUGCGGGUCUUUGGCUGCCUUGCGUUCGCCAAAGAGCUCGGCCACAUCGGCAAGCUCGACGACAGCAGUACUCCGGGAGUCUUCAUCGGCUAUGCGGAGGGCUCAAAGGCCUACCGCAUCCUCGACCCAGAGACACAGCGUGUGCGCACGGCGCGAGACGUCGUGUUCAACGAAGGGCGAGGGUGGAAAUGGGACAAGGCGGUGGACGACGGCUCAAUGCCGACGUAUGACGACUUCAUUGUCGAGUACGUCCACUUCAAGGAAGCCGGGGGAGCAAGCAGCUCCUCUUCGCCGAGCACGUCUACCCCAGCCCCCAAAACUACAUCGACUCCGGUGCCUGCUACGCCGACGGCACCACAACCGGCGACGCCGCAUACUCCAGCCCCGACAGUCACCACUCCGGGCUCGUCUUCAUCAGCACCAGCUCACGCAGAGCACAACCCGAUGAAGUUCGCUUCCCCGCUCACUCACAACGAGGAGCGCAUCGACGCGUAUCAUAGCGGUGAACCGCUACGGUAUCGUACGAUGGAUAAUCUACUCGGCGACCAGCCGGUGCCGGGACUGGUGCCACGCGACCUGGAGGCGCAGCUACAACUCGCGUGUGAGGACGGCAAACCUCGGUCUUUUGCAGAGGCCGAGAAAGACGCGGCAUGGCGCGCCGCGAUGCAGUUGGAGAUGGAUGCGGUCGAGCAGAACCGCACCUGGGAGCUCGCUGACCUCCCUCGUGGUCACCGCGCAAUCACCCUUAAGUGGGUGUUCAAGCUGAAGAGGGAUGGAGCCGGCGCCAUCAUCAAGCACAAGGCUCGCUUGGUGGCCCGAGGCUUCUUGCAGCAGGAAGGAGUCGACUUCAACGACGCUUUCGCUCCCGUGGCACGGAUGGAGUCCGUGCGACUUCUCCUUGCGCUAGCUGCCCAGGAGGGCUGGCGUGUCCAUCACAUGGAUGUCAAGUCGGCAUUNNNNNNNNNNNNNNNNNNNNNNNNNNNNNNNNNNNNNNNNNNNNNNNNNNNNNNNNNNNNNNNNNNNNNNNNNNNNNNNNNNNNNNNNNNNNNNNNNNNNNNNNNNNNNNNNNNNNNNNNNNNNNNNNNNNNNNNNNGCAUUCCUCAACGGCGACUUGAAGGAGGAAGUCUAUGUGCAUCAACCACCGGGAUUUGCGAUCCCUGGCCAGGAGGGCAAGGUACUCCGCCUGCGUAAGGCUCUCUACGGCCUACGACAGGCACCUAGGGCGUGGAACGCCAAGCUGGACUCCACGCUGAAGAAGAUGGGCUUCGAGCAAAGCCCGCAUGAGGCGGCCGUCUACCGACGGGGCAGUGGAGGAAAUGCCCUGCUGGUGGGCGUCUAUGUUGACGACUUGGUGAUCACCGGCAUCAAAGAUGCAGAGGUGGCGGCGUUCAAGGAAGACAUGAAGGCCACCUUCCAGAUGAGUGAUCUGGGGCUCCUCUCCUUCUAUCUAGGGAUCGAGGUGCACCAGGAUCACUCCGGGAUCGCGCUUCGACGGUCCGCCUACGCCAAGCGCAUCGUUGAGCUAGCUGGGCUCACCGACUGCCACCCAGCUCACUCCGAUGGAGGAGAGGCUGAAACUGAGCGCGACAGCACGACAGAGGAAGUAGACGCUACGCAGUACCGACGCCUUGUGGGGAGCCUUCGCUACCUCGCCCACACACGGCCGGACUUGGCAUUCUCCGUCGGCUAUGUCAGUCAGUUCAUGGAGCGACCGACGUCGGAGCACCAGCAGGCAGUGAAGAGGAUCGUCCGCUACGUGGCAGGGACCCUCGACCACGGCCUCCACUACCCUAGGUGUCCGGGGGCGGCACACUUCGUCGGGUACAGCGACAGCGACCACGCCGGCGACAUCGACACCAGCAAGAGCACGAGCGGGAUCCUCUUCUUCCUCGGCAAGUGUCUCGUGAGCUGGCAAUCGGUCAAGCAGCAGGUGGUGGCCCUGUCCAGCUGUGAGGCCGAGUACAUAGCGGCCUCCACCGCCUGCACUCAGGCGCUCUGGCUCGCUCGACUGCUUGGUGAUCUCCUCGUCCGAGACACCAGACGGUGCAGCUCCUGGUGGACAGCAAGUCCGCCCUGGCUCUGGCAAAGAACCCCGUUUUUCACGAACGGAGCAAGCACAUCCGACUGAGGUAUCACUUCAUCCGCAGCUGCUUGGAAGAAGGGAGCAUCGAGGCGAGCUACAUCAACACCACGGACCAGCUCGCAGACCUGCUCACCAAGCCUCUUGGGAGGAUCAAGUUCCUCGAACUCUGCUCCAGGAUUGGGAUGAUUCGACUCUCCCACAAGACGACGUACAAGACUUAGGGGGAGAAUGAUGGAUAAGUCUAUGUACUAUGGUCUUUGUGGGGCUGCAGCACAUAGUCCUUUGUGGGGCUGCAGCACAUGGCCCUUGUGGCUGUUAGGAUAGAAUCCUUGACCAUCAAGGACUGGCAGUUAGGAUAGCAUCUUGGACUAGCAUCUUAGCAGCAUCUUAGACUAGCAUCUUAGCAUAUGCUUGGCUGGCUAGCAGCCUAUAAAUAUGUAUCCCCAACCCCUCAGGUUGGCAUGGCAUUGUGUGAGAAAUAAACCAACGAAAAUUGUCCCAACUCUCCUAGUGUCAUCCACAACUAUCAA
This 5991-nucleotide long non-coding RNA is filed under the name Hordeum vulgare. Its description in RNAcentral is "long non-coding RNA (HVUL_LNC018876)". Lineage: Eukaryota; Viridiplantae; Streptophyta; Magnoliopsida; Poales; Poaceae. The record is from RNAcentral.